Molecule: ribosomal RNA, 810 nt
Filed under: Rastrococcus sp. 2 JC-2021
Lineage: Eukaryota; Metazoa; Arthropoda; Insecta; Hemiptera; Pseudococcidae
Description: partial large subunit ribosomal RNA
Rfam family: Eukaryotic large subunit ribosomal RNA
Source: RNAcentral
UUCGGGGGUAAACGGACAGAGCCCGUGAAUCCGGGCGUCAGUGUUCAGAAGCGAUGGCGUGUGCGCGCGUUUCGAGCGCGCGUACGCGUCGUCGUUUUGAUAUUUCUGGCGCCGCGGACGUCGCGACCCGUUUGGUGUCGGUCUGAGGAGUCGCGUUUUACGUUCGUUUCGCGUGCGCUCGUUGUCUCACGGCAGGAGAUGCGCGCAUUACGAGUACGCGAUGCACAUCCGGCUGACUGGCCAGACGGUACGAUGGGUGGCCGGUGUUGCCGUGUGUGUGCGCGCGCAACAUCGGUGCCGGUCUGCGACGAAUCUUCGGGCCUCUUUCCGACCCGUCUUGAAACACGGACCAAGGAGUCUAACGUGCGCGCGAGUCGCGGGGUGUCGGGUAACGGCGUGGUGGUCGCCUUUGCGGGCGGCUACGUGGCGUCGUUGCCCGUUACGAUGCGAAACCCGUACAUGUCGAAGGCGUAAUGAAAGUGAAACUGGGGAAGAUGGCGUUACCGAGUACACGUUCCGCGGUCUUUUGUACCGCGGCCGGUCGCCCGCAUUCCCGGGGCGUCCCAACGGCACGUCGGCGUUGCGGAUCGUCGUCUUCGCGGGCGGCGGUCGGGCGUCGACGAACCGGGGCGCACCUAUAGCGUGCACGUUGGUACCCGAAAGAUGGUGAACUAUGCCCGGCCAGGAUGAAGUCAGGGGAAACCCUGAUGGAGGUCCGCAGCGAUUCUGACGUGCAAAUCGAUCGUCUGAGCUGGGUAUAGGGGCGAAAGACUAAUCGAACCAUCUAGUAGCUGGUUUCUUUCAGACGAA